GAAAGAGAAGACCUGUACUUUUAACAACCUUCCAUGGACGGUAAAAGACUGCAACGUCACGAGCGGUCAAUGGACCAUUAACUGCAUGAAGGGCUCUUGGACAGAAGGUGUUUGCAAAUGUUACUGCGAGUUUCAAAAGCACUGACGAUGGCGGCACUUCCGGGUUACUGAAAUUGCCUUAGUCGUACAAUGCAUUGGAGGCCUACCUAUCAAACGCUUACUAAAUACUCUACUGGACGAACUACACUUUGAAACCGAAAAUAAAUUUUUGUUCUGAAGAAA
Molecule: long non-coding RNA, 282 nt
Organism: Dermacentor silvarum
Lineage: Eukaryota; Metazoa; Arthropoda; Arachnida; Ixodida; Ixodidae
Exons: 2
Source: RefSeq, a predicted model, not a curated record